Long non-coding RNA from Homo sapiens (human), 2931 nucleotides. RefSeq lists it as uncharacterized. The record is from RefSeq and is a predicted model, not a curated record. Lineage: Eukaryota; Metazoa; Chordata; Mammalia; Primates; Hominidae. The transcript is spliced from 3 exons.
UUUUUUUUUUUUUACAAUGUGCAACAUUUAAUUACAUCAUUAGAAAAGCACAGAAAAUCAAAUAUUGCGUAUUCUCACCUAUAAGGGGGAGCUAAAUCUUGGGUACACAUGGACAUAAGGAAGGGAACAAUAGACACUGAGAACCGCAGAAGGAAGGAGGGAGGCAGGGGACAAGGGCCGAAAACCUUCCUGUUGAGCACUAUGUUCACUAUCUGGGUGACAGGGCCAAGAGAAGCUCAAACCUCAGCAACACACAAUACACCCUUAUAACAAACCUGCACAUGUACCCACUGAAUCUAAAAUAAAAAUAUAAAAUUUAAAAAAAAGAAAGAGAAGAAAAGAAUUCUAGGUAAUACCACGGACAGGACUUUUCUUUCUGUUUUUCAGAGGGAGUCUCGCUCUGUCACCCAGGCCAGAGUACAGUGGCACGAUCUCGGCUCACUGCAACCUCCGCCUCCCAGGUUCAAGCAAUUCGCCUGUCUCAGCCUCCUGAGUAGCUGGGACUACAGGCACACGCCACCACGCCCGGCUAAUUUUUGUAUUUUUAGUAGAGACAGGGUUUCACCAUAUUGGUCAGAAGGCUGAGGUAGGAGGAUCGCUUGAGCCCAGGAAUUGAAAACUGUAGUGAGCUAUGAUGACACCACUAUACUCCAGCCUGGGUGACAGAGUGACACUCUCUCUUAAAGAGAGAGAGAGGGAAAGGAAGGAAGGAAGAAAAGAAGGGAGGGAGGGAGAGAGAGAGAGAGAGAGAGGGAGAGAGACAGAAAGAGUGGGAGAGAGAGAGAGAAAGAAAAAGAAAGAAAGAGGAAGGAAGGAAGGAAAAGAGAGAGAGAAAGAGAAACAGAAAGAGAAAGGAAAAGACAAGACUCCUUAAGAAAACCUUGUGUGGUGUGUCUGCAACUAAUUCUCCAGCCUUUCCUCCCCAGCCAAGUGGGCUUUUAUUCAUUUAUUGAACUGAAGGUCUCUCGGCCCCACCUCCUUCCCUGGUUGGCAUUCCAGUUCCCAGGUCCUGGAAUGCACUCUCCCAUCUUCCCAAGCCCUUCAUUGACACCUAAUCCUUCAAAAUUCAACUCAGCGGUUGGUUACCUCUCCAGGGAAGCUUUCCCUGCCCACCCCACAGGAUCUCCCCCAAUCCAAUCACAUUUUCCUGCUGUAACUGUCAUAGCACCUUGUAUUUGUCCUUUCUAACAUGUUUCUGUUCCAAUCAUGUGCCUGUGUGAUUAUUUCAUUAACAUCCAUUUCUACCUCUAGACCAUAAGCUCCUGGAGAGCAGCCCCAGAAUCUGGGUUUGUACUCAUCACUCAUCAUGCAUUCCAUGCAUUCCUAGUCUACUCUCUGGACAUUCAAUAAAUAUUUGUUGAACGAAUGUUUCCCCAUCUGUAAAAUAAGAAGAGCUCACCUAGAUUUCAAUCCAUAAUAUUUAAAGCCUGGAUUCUGGGAUCCUCCACUCCUCCCUCCAAAGCUGACUACCCAAAAAUCCCAGGAAAUUCCAGAUUGUAUCUCCCUCAUUAACAUAUUACAAACUUGAUUAUCCUUCAAUUCCCUGAGGCUUACUGGGAGCUCCCAGGCCCUGGGGAUUUGACAGCGGGAGAGAGAUAGGGAAUUCUGGUGAGUCAUUGAGGGUGAUUACUAAUUUCGGAGUUUUUUGUUUUGUUUUGCUUUGCUUUUUUGAGACGGAGUCUCGCUCUGUUGCCCAGGCUGGAGUGCAGUGGCGCAAUCUCGGCUCACUGCAAGCUCCGCCUCCCAGGUUCACGCCAUUCUCCUGCCCCAGCCUCCCCAGUAGCUGGGACUACAGGCGCCCGCCACCACGUCCGGCUAAUUUUUUUUUUUUUUUUUUUUUUUGGAUUUUUAGUAAAGACGGGGUUUCACCGUGUUAGCCAGGAUGGUCUCGCUCUCCUGACCUCGUGAUCCACCCGCCUCGGCCUCCCAAAGUGCUGGGAUUACAGGCGUGAGCCACCGCGCUCGGCCAAUUUCGAAGUGUUUUCAAACUACUGCAGCCCUCUCCCAUUGCUGUGGUAACUGGAUGGAAAUGCAUCUAGCAAGAGAAAAUGUACAUAAAGAUUACCUCCCUCCCUGCUCUAGGUUUCUGCAGGUGAGAAGGUGUCGUGAUAGAAUAAUGAACAUUUCCUGUGGGGCUGGCACUGUGUUCUACAUAGAACUCAUUUAAUACAACAACCGUAUAACGAGGAAGCAAGCCAUGUGCAUCAAUUAUCAGGAACGCUUUAAUCCAACUGGGACCCCAAACAAACACCCCGUUUUAAUCCCGGGUGAAGUGAUACAAACAAUUUACAAAGCCUCACGACCCGGCAGCAACCCGAGUCUUACGUGAUCUGGCGAAACUCAUCUGCCUCCUAAGCUCCAACGCCACUGCUUUUCUUUCCCUGUCUCCAGCACUCAGCUCCUUCGGGUCUAUGGCAAUUGUACUUGCUGUUCCUCCUGCCUGGAUUAGUCCUACAGCUUGCCCUGACUGCAUCCUUCUCAUCAUUCAGAUCUCAACGCAAGCAUCACCUCCUUCCUCUGAGGCCUUGGCCUUCAACAUCCCAUUCCCUACCCCACAUCAUUCCAGACUGGAAGCUCUAGAGCUGGCAUUAGAACACUGUCUGGCCCACAAGCCUUCAAUACUUCAACAAAUGCUUGUUGAAUCCAAAAACGCUGAUUACCCUUCAAUCUGCCAGCUCACCCCACUCCCUCUCAAAAUACCUAGGAGAAUUAAUUUACAAAGAAAACAUAAGCAAGCGACAGCGUAACACAUCGACUCAAAACAAAGCCGGUAAUCCGGGGCUGAACUGGUCAACGGCAUUUAAAGAAGGCCCCAAGAAAACCCUUUCCUGAUCGUGCACACACUUUUCAAGAGGCGAAACCAGGGGGACAGGGCGGUCGGCGGCGCAGCGCUGCCUACCUUGAACUCCGCGGAAAGUUGGGGCGUGUAUU